RNAcentral lists this ribosomal RNA (501 nucleotides) under uncultured bacterium. Its description in RNAcentral is "partial 16S ribosomal RNA". It matches the Rfam family "Bacterial small subunit ribosomal RNA", at positions 30 to 523 of the family's 1533-position model. The record is from RNAcentral.
AUUGAACGCUGGCGGCAGGCUUAACACAUGCAAGUCGAGCGGAGAUGAGGUGCUUGCACCUUAUCUUAGCGGCGGACGGGUGAGUAAUGCUUAGGAAUCUGCCUAUUAGUGGGGGACAACAUUCCGAAAGGAAUGCUAAUACCGCAUACGUCCUACGGGAGAAAGCAGGGGAUCUUCGGACCUUGCGCUAAUAGAUGAGCCUAAGUCGGAUUAGCUAGUUGGUGGGGUAAAGGCCUACCAAGGCGACGAUCUGUAGCGGGUCUGAGAGGACGAUCCGACAGACUGGGACAGGAGCACGGACCAGACUCCUACGGGAGGCAACAGUGGGGAAUAUUGGGCAAUGGGGGAAACCCUGAGCCAGCCAUGCCGCGUGUGGGAAGAAGGCCUUAUGGUUGUAAAGCACUUUAAGCGAGGAGGAGGCUACUGAGACUAAUACUCUUGGAUAGUGGACGUUACUCGCAGAAUAAGCACCGGCUAACUCUGUGCCAGCAGCCGCCGUAA